AAAGUCGAGACUGAACGUUUAGCGUUC
This 27-nucleotide non-coding RNA is filed under the name Bombyx mori (domestic silkworm). The record is from RNAcentral. Lineage: Eukaryota; Metazoa; Arthropoda; Insecta; Lepidoptera; Bombycidae.